CCUACGGGAGGCAGCAGUGGGGAAUCUUGCGCAAUGGGCGAAAGCCUGACGCAGCAACGCCGCGUGCGGGAAGAAGGCUUUCGGGCUGUAAACCGCUUUCAGCAGGAACGAAAAUGACGGUACCUGCAGAAGAAGGAGCGGCCAACUAUGUGCCAGCAGCCGCGGUGAUACAUAGGCUUCAAGCGUUGUCCGGAUUUAUUGGGCGUAAAGAGUUCGUAGGCGGUCGAGUAAGUCGGGUGUGAAAAUUCUGGGCUCAACCCAGAGACGCCACCCGAUACUGCUUGACUUGAGUUCGAUAGGGGAGUGGGGAAUUCCUAGUGUAGCGGUGAAAUGCGCAGAUAUUAGGAGGAACACCGGUGGCGAAGGCGCCACUCUGGAUCGAUACUGACGCUGAGGAACGAAAGCAUGGGUAGCAAACAGGAUUAGAUACCCUGGUAGUCCAUGCCGUAAACGGUGGGCACUAGGUGUGGGUUUCUAUUAACGAAAUCCGCGCCGUCGCUAACGCAUUAAGUGCCCCGCCUGGGGAGUACGGUCGCAAGCUAAAACUCAAAGUANAAGUGACGUCGAGAGACGCGACGACGACGACGACGGAGGAGGAG
This 599-nucleotide ribosomal RNA is filed under the name uncultured bacterium. Its description in RNAcentral is "bacterial SSU rRNA". It matches the Rfam family "Bacterial small subunit ribosomal RNA", at positions 338 to 955 of the family's 1533-position model. The record is from RNAcentral.